GUCAUUAAACUGCUCAAACAAACAAAUAUUAACCUUUAAGUCCUUUAGCAGUCAAAUACUUUAUUGACAGAAAUGCUUUCUGUGCACUUGGCAUCUUUCUUAAUUUUUACUACAUGCUAAAUUCUUCAUACAAAAACAAGGGAACUACCUAAUAAAAUAAAUUUUAAAGGCAGGACAAUAUUCAGAAGUGCCUAGAUCAUCUAUCCAGUUUUAUGUUAUAGUUUUUAUUAAAUAGGUUCAUUUUAUUUAAAAUUAUAAAUAUAUAUAAAAACCCACAGUAAUUAAUAUUACAGAAAAGAGUGAAGGCUUCAAGUGCUGUUCUAUUAACCAAAUAAAAACAAUUAAAAUUGUACUGAUUGCAAGAUGGGCAAUUAUUGUUCAUUUUUAAGUCUAAGUCUCAUAUCUAAAGAAGUUUUAAGACUUAACUAUAGUUAUCUUUUAUCUAUGUUUGUUUAUUUUCCUAACCAGCCAUCACCACACACCAAAAACAGUUUCAGGUUCCAUAAAAUUUAUAAUUAAAAGAAAAUAAUUUCUAAGGUAUCAAUAAUAAUCCUAUUCCAGUUCUUAUUACUUGGGUGGAUUAACCUCACAUUCUUUCAAAGUAAUCUGAUGUCAUGCUUUAGAGAUCUCUAAAUGCUGUUGAAAAUCUUCCAUACUUAAAAUCAUUUCUAUGCUCUUUUAGUCUUGUUUCCAAAUUCCUUUCCAUAUAUCUAAUAUAAAGCUUUUCCUUGGUUUGGGAGGAAUUGUUUAAUAAAAUCUCAUAUACUUCGCUUUUGUCUUUAUCAUCAUAAUGGACCUUAUCAUUUAUAAUUAGACCAAACAUAGUCAGGUUUCUUUAAAAUUUAGGGUACAGUGCAUCAGCGUGCUUAUUUUUUGACUUUUUCUACCUAUAAACUCUGAAUUAUAUUCUUAAAAACAUCUGAUUUAAACCCUUCCCAUUACAGAAACUCCUUUCCACCUUAUCUUACAAUUUCCAUAGGAAGUUGUUGCUGUACCAUGCUUUUGACCUAUUUUCAUUAUCAAAUUAAUCUUCUCUUUAUUCUAAUAUGGCUGUAAACAGUGUUGAAAAAGUAUCUGUUCUGUACAAAAACCUAUUAUCCGAUACUGUAAGAACAUAUAUAGGGAUGUUGCCUGGUGUUCUAGACACAGUGGUCGUGUGUCUAUUUUCUGUAAUCAAGAUCAUAAUUAAAUCUUAUAAUUUUGAUUACAGAAAAUUAAUCUGUUUUGCAUGCUUGUUCCGUAACUGUGAACUUCAGACUAUUGUUUUACCAGAAGAAUUGCCUUCUUCUCAAACAAUAGUUUGAGGUUCAUGGUUAUGGAACAAGCAUGCAAAUCAUAAGAUUUAAUUAUGAUCUUGAUUGCGGAGAGUGGAUGCAUGACUGCUGUGUUUGGAAUGCCAGGUGGCAUCCUUGUGUAUGUUCUUGCAGUGUCGGAU
RNAcentral lists this long non-coding RNA (1435 nucleotides) under Androctonus crassicauda. The record is from RNAcentral. Lineage: Eukaryota; Metazoa; Arthropoda; Arachnida; Scorpiones; Buthidae.